Molecule: ribosomal RNA, 433 nt
Filed under: uncultured bacterium
Lineage: Bacteria
Description: partial 16S ribosomal RNA
Rfam family: Bacterial small subunit ribosomal RNA
Source: RNAcentral
AACGAACGCUGGCGGCAUGCCUAACACAUGCAAGUCGAACGAGACCUUCGGGUCUAGUGGCGCACGGGUGCGUAACGCGUGGGAACCUGCCCUUAGGUUCGGAAUAACUCCCCGAAAGGGGUGCUAAUACCGGAUAAUGUCUUCGGACCAAAGAUUUAUCGCCUUUGGAUGGGCCCGCGUUGGAUUAGCUAGUUGGGAGGGUAAAAGCCUACCAAGGCGACGAUCCAUAGCUGGUCUGAGAGGAUGAUCAGCCACACUGGGACUGAGACACGGCCCAGACUCCUACGGGAGGCAGCAGUGGGGAAUAUUGGACAAUGGGCGAAAGCCUGAUCCAGCAAUGCCGCGUGAGUGAUGAAGGCCUUAGGGUUGUAAAGCUCUUUUACCCGGGAUGAUAAUGACAGUACCGGGAGAAUAAGCUCCGGCUAACUACGUG